AACUGAUUUUAUGUUAAAAACAGACUUUUCUACUUUAUUAAAGAUUUGUUAGAACAUUGAGCUCCAUUCAUCAAUAAUUUGGCUCCACUCUUGCCACCUUUUGCAAAGUAUCUGCAGGCCUCCUGGCACUUGGGAAUGAUGCUGGGCUGGCUACAUAGUGAAUACUGAAGGAGACCCCCUAUCAUGUUCUUACUGAAGGAAGUGUGACAUAGUGUGAAUCUGUGUCUAGCUAUCUAUGGAAAUUUCACUAAUAGAAAUUUUAAAAAAUGAAAGAAGUUCGACUGGUCUUCUGUACGGAGGAAUUGACAAGAUUUCUCAUCUCUUCUGAAUUUUGGCCUUGUCCUGAUUUCUGAAAACUACCAUCUGAUCAUCCUCAUUUUCUACCAUUGAGAUCAUAGAAACACACGAAAGCGUGAGUUCGUUCUGCUGCUGUACUAUCGUCGUACUUGUCAUGCUUGGCAGCCAUGUUAUAUUUGGGCAGAAAUCCCAUCAGGACUAAUGCAACAAACCAACUAAGUAAGUAAGUAGAUGUAAAAAUGAUGCUAGAAUAACCAUAAAUGAUAAAUCCUAUAAAACAAAUAGCCCUUAAUAAAUUAAACAAUUUUACUUUAUAAAGAUUAAAG
This 623-nucleotide long non-coding RNA is filed under the name Gopherus agassizii (Agassiz's desert tortoise). RNAcentral's name for it is "lncRNA (ENSGAGG00000010440.1)". The record is from RNAcentral. Lineage: Eukaryota; Metazoa; Chordata; Testudines; Testudinidae.